Molecule: ribosomal RNA, 1215 nt
Filed under: Triticum aestivum (bread wheat)
Lineage: Eukaryota; Viridiplantae; Streptophyta; Magnoliopsida; Poales; Poaceae
Description: partial small subunit ribosomal RNA
Source: RNAcentral
AUGCAAGUGCCGGAGCAGGACCUGAUGAGCCCUGGCGGCGCUUCGUCGUCGCUGUUGUUCCCCACCUCCUCGCUGCCACGCGAGGGUCGGAUGAUCACCGUGCUGAGCAUCGACGGCGGCGGCGUGCGCGGGAUCAUCCCCGGCACCAUCCUCGCUUUCCUCGAACAAAAACUCCAGGAGAUUGAUGGGUCGCCGGACGCGAGGAUCGCGGAUUACUUCGACGUGGUCGCCGGAACGAGCACCGGUGGUCUGGUGGCCACCAUGCUCACCGCGCCCAACACCCAGCGCCGCCCGCUCUACGCCGCCAAGGACAUCAAUAAAUUUUACCUCGAGCACUGCCCGAAUAUCUUCCCUGCCGUCUGCAAAGGGCUGGGCUUAUUCAAGAGCAUGAUGGGACCCAAGUACAGUGGCCAGCACCUGCACUCAAUCCUGAAGAAGCAGCUCGGUGACACACGAAUCAGUCAGACACUCAAGAGCAUCGUCAUCCCCACUUUCGACAUCAAGCUCCUUCAACCUAUCAUCUUCUCAACCUACGACGCCAAGAAGGAUGUCUCCAAGGAUGCUCUUCUGUCGGAUGUCUGCAUCAGCACGUCCGCCGCUCCAACCUACCUCCCCGGGCACCAUUUCAAGACCAAGGACAAAGACGGCAAGACCCGGGCCUUUAACCUCAUCGACGGGGGUGUCGCAGCCAACAAUCCGACCCUUGUGGCGAUCACCCACGUAAGCAAGCAGAUCAUAAAGAAGAAACAGAAUCUCGGUAAGUUCAUGGUCCUCUCGCUGGGCACUGGCACCGCCAAGGUCAAAGAGAACUUCGACGCUGCCGAGUGCAGCAAGUGGGGCCUUCUCGGGUGGCUCUAUAACGGGGGCACCACGCCGAUCAUCGACAGCUUCUGCCAGGCCAGCGCCGACCUCGUCGAUAUCCAGGCAUCCGUGCUUUUCGAGGCGCUACAGUGCGACAUGCACUACUUGCGGAUCCAGGAUGAGCUCCCGGGCGAAACGGCCUCCGUGGACGUGUCCACGACAGAGAACCUCAAAAGGCUCAUUGAUGUUGGCAAGGCAUUGCUGAAGAAGCAGGCGUGCAAGGUGGACAUCGAGACAGGCAAGAACAAGGACGACCUAGAGAGGGGCACCAACGAGGAAGAACUUACCCAUUUCGCCCGCAUGUUGUCGCACGAGCGCAAAGCCAGACUUGGGGAGGCGGGUCUCAAAACUUAG